This 76-nucleotide transfer RNA is filed under the name Pararhodospirillum photometricum DSM 122. RNAcentral describes it as "tRNA-Lys". The record is from RNAcentral. Lineage: Bacteria; Pseudomonadati; Pseudomonadota; Alphaproteobacteria; Rhodospirillales; Rhodospirillaceae.
CGUCCCCCGGCAGUAGCGCCGCGCCAUCUGGCGCCGUUACACGAACUCGCUUCCCGCUGCGUCGGUAGUAGGCGUA